Molecule: ribosomal RNA, 266 nt
Filed under: uncultured bacterium
Lineage: Bacteria
Description: partial 16S ribosomal RNA
Rfam family: Bacterial small subunit ribosomal RNA
Source: RNAcentral
GUCCACGCUGUAAACGAUGGGUACUAGGUUUGGUGGGUCUUGACCCCCGCCGAACCGGCGCUAACGCAAUAAGUACCCCGCCUGGGAAGUACGGUCGCAAGACUAAAACUCAAAGUAAUUGACGGGGGCCCGCACAAGCGGUGGAUCAUGUGGUUUAAUUCGAAGCAACGCGAAGAACCUUACCUGGAUUUGACAUCUUCUGACAAACGUAGAGAUACGUCUUUUGUAGCAAUACAACAUAAUGACAGGUGCUGCAUGGCUGUCGU